This 73-nucleotide transfer RNA is filed under the name Neotoma lepida (desert woodrat). It matches the Rfam family "tRNA". From Rfam's summary of the family: Transfer RNA (tRNA) molecules are approximately 80 nucleotides in length. Their secondary structure includes four short double-helical elements and three loops (D, anti-codon, and T loops). Lineage: Eukaryota; Metazoa; Chordata; Mammalia; Rodentia; Cricetidae. The record is from Rfam by way of RNAcentral.
GCUCGGCUAGCUCAGUCAGUAGAUCAUGAGACUCUUAAUCUCAAGGUCAUGGUUUCAUGCCCCAUGUUGGGUG